Long non-coding RNA from Cucumis sativus (cucumber), 196 nucleotides. RefSeq lists it as uncharacterized. The record is from RefSeq and is a predicted model, not a curated record. NCBI's taxonomy places the organism in Eukaryota, Viridiplantae, Streptophyta, Magnoliopsida, Cucurbitales, Cucurbitaceae. The transcript has 2 exons.
UUAGGAAAUCAAGGCCAAGGGAGAUGUCAUGGCUAUGGGCUGAAGCUUUGAGAAAAAGAGAAUGAAAAAUGAAAUUUGCUUUGAUUGAAGGAUAGAGGGAAGUGAUUAUUGAUAAUUAUAAGUAUGUUCUCUCUCCCUUUCUUACAAUAAGGAUAGUAGCAACAAAAAUUACUACAUGUUCUAUAUUGAAAGGAAA